RNAcentral lists this ribosomal RNA (775 nucleotides) under uncultured bacterium. Its description in RNAcentral is "bacterial SSU rRNA". It matches the Rfam family "Bacterial small subunit ribosomal RNA", at positions 1 to 748 of the family's 1533-position model. The record is from RNAcentral.
UUGUUNNNNNNNCCUCGUUACAUUCCCUUGAGUUGAUCAUGGCUCAGGACGAACGCUGACGGUGUGCUUUAGGCAUGCAAGUCGAACGAGAAAGCCCUUCGGGGUGAGUAAAGUGGCGAACGGGUGAGUGACACGUGGGCAACCUGCCCCUCGCAGGGGGACAACCGGAGGAAACUCCGGCUAAUACCCCGUACGCUUGUCGAGUCGCAUGGCUCGUCAAGGAAAGGUAGCUUCGGCCAUCCGGCGAGGGAUGGGCCCGCGGUGCAUUAGCUAGUUGGUGGGGUAACGGCCCACCAAGGCAACGAUGCGUAGCUGGUCUGAGAGGAUGAUCAGCCACACUGGGACUGAGACACGGCCCAGACUCCUACGGGAGGCAGCAGCCAGGAAUCUUGGGCAAUGGGCGAAAGCCUGACCCAGCAACACCGUGUGAGCGAUGAAGGCCUUCGGGUCGUAAAGCUCUGUUGAUAGGGACGAAGGGCGAAGGGUUAAUAGCCCCUAGCCUGACGGUACCUUUCGAGGAAGCCCCGGCUAACUACGUGCCAGCAGCCGCGGUAAUACGUAGGGGGCGAGCGUUGUCCGGAAUUAUUGGGCGUAAAGAGCGUGUAGGCGGUUCGGUAAGUCUGUCGUGAAAACCUGAGGCUCAACCUCGGGCGUGCGAUGGAUACUGCCGGGCUAGAGGAUGGUAGAGGCGAGUGGAAUUCCCGGUGUAGCGGUGAAUGCGCAGAUAUCGGGAGGAACACAGUAGCGAAGCGGCUCGCUGGGCACUCCUGAGCUU